RNAcentral lists this non-coding RNA (103 nucleotides) under uncultured Thiogranum sp. Lineage: Bacteria; Pseudomonadati; Pseudomonadota; Gammaproteobacteria; Chromatiales; Ectothiorhodospiraceae. The record is from RNAcentral.
UGCCGACAGCGUUCCUGCGUCAGGGUCAGGCAAAUCAGGCCACGGCCAUGGGUUGCCAUAAAAUUAAUAUCUUCCGGCCGCACCCGGGAAGCCGCCAUGAUCA